RNAcentral lists this ribosomal RNA (834 nucleotides) under uncultured bacterium. Its description in RNAcentral is "bacterial SSU rRNA". It matches the Rfam family "Bacterial small subunit ribosomal RNA", at positions 64 to 874 of the family's 1533-position model. The record is from RNAcentral.
GAACGCGAAAGUUUCCUUCGGGGAACAAGUAGAGUGGCGCACGGGUGAGUAACACGUAGGUAAUCUACCUUUGGAUGGGGAAUAACAACCGGAAACGGUUGCUAAUACCGCAUAAUGCAGCGGCACCUAAUGGUGACAGUUGUUAAAGCGGGGGAUCGAAAGACCUCGCGUCUAAAGAGGAGCCUGCGGCGGAUUAGCUAGUUGGUAAGGUAAUGGCUUACCAAGGCGAUGAUCCGUAGCCGGCCUGAGAGGGCGGUCGGCCACACUGACACUGACAUACGGGUCAGACUCCUACGGGAGGCAGCAGUCGGGAAUUUUGGGCAAUGGGCGAAAGCCUGACCCAGCAACGCCGCGUGAAGGAUGAAAUCCCUCGGGAUGUAAACUUCGCAAGAACAGGAAGAAUAAGUAGGGGAUAAUACCCCCUAUGAUGACGGUACUGUUUGUAAGCUCCGGCUAACUCCGUGCCAGCAGCCGCGGUAAUACGGGGGGAGCAAGCGUUGUUCGGAUUUACUGGGCGUAAAGGGCGCGUAGGCGGCGCCGCAAGUCGGUUGUGAAAUCUCCGGGCUUAACCCGGAAAGGUCAACCGAUACUGCGGGGCUAGAGUGCAGAAGGGGCAACUGGAAUUCUCGGUGUAGCGGUGAAAUGCGUAGAUAUCGAGAGGAACACCUGCGGCGAAGGCGGGUUGCUGGGCUGACACUGACGCUGAAGCGCGAAAGCUAGGGGAGCGAACGGGAUUAGAUACCCCGGUAGUCCUAGCCUUAAACGAUGAAUGCUUGGUGUCUGGGGUUUUAUAGUCCCCCGGGUGCCGUCGCUAACGCUUUAAGCAUUCCGCCU